This 310-nucleotide transfer-messenger RNA is filed under the name Cyanobacteria bacterium REEB498. It matches the Rfam family "Cyanobacteria transfer-messenger RNA". From Rfam's summary of the family: Bacterial tmRNA, also known as 10Sa RNA or SsrA, is named for its dual tRNA and mRNA-like properties. Lineage: Bacteria; Bacillati; Cyanobacteriota. The record is from RNAcentral.
CUGCCACAAUGCAGGAGUCCGGUUUCGGCCGGACUAGGUGGCUCACACCGGUGUUUCGGACAGCGGUUCGAUUCCGCUCAGCUCCAUCACAUCCCCCGGCAUCCGCCGGGAUUGUUCCCGGGGCUGCAAUGGUUUCGACGGGGCAUGAGGAGAGUGACUGAAGCCUGCUCGGUCAGAGCAAAUCCGUAACAGCGAACAACAUCGUUCGUUUCUCCCGUCAAGCCGCCCCUGUGGCUGCCUGACACUCUUAAGGGAGAUGGGGUGAGAUCAGCCUUAUCACCCAAAUGAUCCAUGGGGGCUGGAAGGCCCC